This 293-nucleotide ribosomal RNA is filed under the name uncultured bacterium. Its description in RNAcentral is "partial 16S ribosomal RNA". It matches the Rfam family "Archaeal small subunit ribosomal RNA", at positions 455 to 747 of the family's 1478-position model. The record is from RNAcentral.
GUGCCAGCCGCCGCGGUAAUACCGGCAGCACGAGUGAUGACCGAUAUUAUUGGGCCUAAAGCGUCCGUAGCUGGCCAAGCAAGUCCAUUGGGAAAUCGACGCGCUCAACGCGUCGGCGUCCGGUGGAAACUGCACGGCUUGGGGCCGAGAGACUCGACGGGUACGUCCGGGGUAGGAGUGAAAUCCCAUAAUCCCGCACGGACCACCGAUGGCGAAAGCACUUCGAGAAAACGGAUCCGACAGUGAGGGACGAAAGCCAGGGUCUCCAACCGGAUUAGAAACCCGAGUAGUCC